This is a non-coding RNA of Triticum urartu, 634 nucleotides long. Lineage: Eukaryota; Viridiplantae; Streptophyta; Magnoliopsida; Poales; Poaceae. The record is from RefSeq and is a predicted model, not a curated record.
GGUCAUGUUCAUCCCGGAAGAGCGGAGGCAGAUUGUGUUAUUUGCACAAGGUUUCCCAAUCUCUCCUGAAGCUUAUCCUUUUUGAUAGAAUCGAUCAAUUAGCCCGUCUCAAGGUCUUCCCAGAUAUGCGGCCUUGUUGGAACAAAUGGAGUUGGAAAAUCCACAUCACUUAAAGUCUUAGCUGGCAAGCUGAAACCUCAUAAUCCGGCAAGAGAUCAUCACAUACUUCUAGGGUUCUGAGCUUCAGAAUUAUUUUACAUGUAUAUUGGAGGACCUGAAGAGCUGUUUAAUCCAGCAAUGAAACGCAGGUCAUCGCCCAUUCUACUCGCAACAUCGGCACAAACUGCCGCUGCUGACCAUCAUUAUUCGGUCGUAAUCCCGGCGUCCUCCUCCUGUUGUGCCCUUGGCUUAUUGCCUCGAGGUGCCACCCAAAUGCGCGUGGCUGCAAAAGUGUUUCAUCAUGGUCAGCCGCAGGUAGAUGACAACAAGCUGCAGAACAAUGAGCAGCUCGACAGAGGAGUACCGACGCAACGCUCGCCAUAGGGAAUUGGGAAGGUACAGAGUUGGGCUCCCCUGAUCACUAUAUUUAUUGGGAAGCUUGGUACAAGACAAUCUUAGUUUGGGCUAUGAUGCA